AUUUAUUGUUGAAACUGCUCCACACAAUCUCUCCAUGAGUGCUACAUCAUUAGAGGUUUAGGUUCAUUAGUGAUAGAAAUGCAUAAUUUCAUUCCACGGAUUCAAAUACAUAAUUUCAUUUGAAAUACAUACAAGCCAUAGCAUUUAAACAAGCGAUACAUUGUACUGAGAUCAAAUGUGCCCAUGAAUAUAUCAUCGUUAUAUAUGAAAGUUUGGUCUGGUAAAUAGUAGUCAAACAAAACGAUCUGGUGUACACGAACAGACAAAUGCAAUUGUUAGUCAGGAAGGUCCUUUCUGCAAAACAUCAAUACACCAGAAGUUCGACAACCACUUUCACUCCGUCAUCAUUUCUCUUCCUUGUAACUACAACAUCUACCUCGUCCAUAACUUUCCCCUUCUCUAUCUAUUACAAGUACUCCAUUGUUCUUCCUCUACCC
Molecule: long non-coding RNA, 437 nt
Filed under: Setaria viridis
Lineage: Eukaryota; Viridiplantae; Streptophyta; Magnoliopsida; Poales; Poaceae
Description: long non-coding RNA (SVIR_LNC000011)
Source: RNAcentral